Molecule: long non-coding RNA, 3259 nt
Organism: Mus musculus (house mouse)
Lineage: Eukaryota; Metazoa; Chordata; Mammalia; Rodentia; Muridae
Exons: 3
Source: RefSeq, a predicted model, not a curated record
CACACACACACACCACAGCCAAGGAUGCCUGGCUUUGCCUUAAGGGCUUCCUGGGUUGGACUUCCUGCUUCAGUGAGCUCAGGAGGCCUGUAGUCUGAGGGGCCUAUACUUGGCCGAGGUCUGGAGACUGAGAGUGCGGGGCAUUUCCUGUUAGGAGUUCGUUGUCUGUUGAGCCUCAGGGUAGAACUGAGGCCAUAGCUGGGUGUGGAAAAGAAGGAAGGGCCUUCUUAGCCCUUUCUUAGGCUUUGCCACUAACACUCUCACCCCAUUAAUUCAGUGCCUCAUGAUGUCAGAAGAACGGAGGCGUAGCAGAAAGGUCCCGAGGGGGUGUGGGCUUACGUCUUCUAGGGAGCCCAACCCGGGAAGUGGUCCUUAGUGCUAGGCCAGCUGUGGGCCAAGCUGGGCGCUGCUCCCCACCCCUGCCCUGAAGUAUUUAUAGAAGCUAGUCUGGGAAUUUUCUCUCUGAGCUCCAGGCACAUUCCUGGGAUUCUGUUAACAGCCUUUCCAGCCGGGAAGCUGGGAAUCAGCCGGGAGGCUGCGGGAGUCGGCAGGGCCCUGGAGGCCCCGCUUGAAGCCACCGGGACUGCGUUCAGGAGCCACUGCACUGGAGGGGUCUUCUUCAGGCACUCUUGGGGAGACUACAUGCUUCUAGGUCAGUGCUGGCUCCAGGUUUGCUCCCUCAACCUGUCCAACCAGACGGGGACACAGCCGUCGAGUCCCAUACCCCUUCUAGAACACAGCUACUAGAGUCACCGGCCAGUUCUACUUUCCCGUCGGAGGCAAAGGGCACCUAGUGUCCAGUUGAUAUGCUACCCUGGGUUUCUUGAAAGGCCCUUGCUGAGAAGCUGGGGCUCAGAAUUCAUACAACCUAAGAAGAGAUCCGGCAGCAGGAAUGGGAAGUGAGCAGGGAAUCUUCGCUUGGUUCCGUUUUCAGGAACCAGUGGGUUACAAAGCAAUAAAGACACUUCGGUCCAGCUUCUCCCUGGGCUCCCAUCCUCUCAAGGGAUUUCUGAGUGCGUGCCUGACCUCCUCAAACCCAACUUGAAACCCAGCUUCUAUAGCUUCCUGUCAGAGGGGAAUAAGAUCUGGCAACGGAGACCGCCGCCCACAUGGGACCCUGUGCUCCAACCCUGUGUUCUCCAGAGCCAGAUGUUAGAGCUGCUGCAACAGCCAUUCUCAACACUAAGGGGUAUCCGAUGUGAACCAAGACCUCUCCAUGGUCCCACUGACUGUGGGUUCCUACGUGGCCCUUCAGUGACCACUCUGUCCUCAUCUCUCUGUUCUCUGGAAGCAGCAAGGAAAACAGGGGUGAAAGGUCAUCUGUAGAGUCUUACUCUGUCAGAGUAGGGAACACAUUACUGCUUCCCUAACAAGAGACUCUUCACUGGAUGAAUAAGCACACUCAAGGUUCAGAGAUAGGCUCACCUACCCAUGACCACCCAAGGAAGAAGGUAGCUAGGUCAGGAUAAGCGCUUCUCAACUACCAAACCUCCCCACUACGGGUGCCGGCGUGUCACUGUGUCCCUGGUAUGCAAAUCCUGUGUCCAUGUCCCAGAACUGGGCCCAGGGGCUCUUCUCAAUGUACACUCAUGCCAGAUUUGACAUGGUUCACCUCUGAGACCCUUGAGUCCCACCAGGAAAGAGAACGCCCCUGGAAAGAAAGAGGCAGCCCAAUGGCUGAGGAGAGGCUGAGGACCCUCAUACAAGGCGAUUUUUGGAACUGCGGAGAGUCUGGAUUAUCUCCCAGGGUAAGGCUUUAACGAGUGGCCAUGGAUCUUGAGAGCAGACCACAUACAGAACUUCACAGCAACAUGGAAGCCACAAAACAAACAAACAAACAAACAAACCCAAAAAACUCAUCCCUUCCAGAGUUCUUCCUCCAUCAGUGCAGACUCUGAUGGGAGGGAAACAGCUCACGCCUACAAGACAUAUACAGAUGUCUCUCAUAGCAGAGCGGGCAGGAAAUCACCUCCUAGAGAUGCCCGGAAGCAUCAUCGACAUCAUCAUCAUCAGCAGCAGCAGCAGCAGGCACCUGCCGGGGUGAGGGGGAUGAGAAGGGAGGUCUUGGGAGGGGAGAGUGGCUUACCAGGCUGUGCAUGAUGCGCACGCCGUCCGGGUUUACGGUGAGAGCCUCCUUGUACAGCUGCUUGGCCUCUUCGAAGCUGCCCUUCACCUCAGCUAGUCGGCCUCGCAUGUAGAGUACCGAGUGAGAGGUGGGGAAGAGGCCAGCAGCCUCCUGGAUGCAGAAACCCGCUUCCUUGAGUUGUCUCUGCUCCAUGAACAGCUCAGCUGUGAGAGUAGAGGGGCAAAGUGUGAGUGGGGGGCGGGGAGUCACAGGCAGCGGCCCAGACCCUCAUCCCUGAGCCAGGAAGUCAACAGAGGACACCACAGAGUCACAGCACAGGGCCACCUCUCUGGGAAUUGUAAGGGUAACAGUGGGUACUGUCAGUCACCGCGCUGGGUACUUCACACAAACUGCUUUAGUCAAUGCCACAGAAACCCUGAAGAAAGUACUUUUGCUAUCCCACGUUAGAAACAGGAACAGCAGAGGGAACAAAGUAACUGACAGGGUCACAGUGUGUGUCAGGCUAUCUGACGCUAGGUCCGGAGGGUGGGCAGGCGGUGGGGAAUGGCUUGGCCCAGCUUGCUUGCAUGUCUUUGACAUGUUUCAGUGUCUGUCUGCUUCUCUAGACAGACGGCAGCGUGGCAACAGACCAGGUGACUCUCCUGGAGGUCUUUUUGUCUUGAGGCACAUUAACCAAGGGGCUUACUGGGCCCUGGCAUGCUCAGGAUGAAAUGGGAGUGUGCCUGAAGCCCAGGAGGAGCCAUGCACUGUGAAGGACAGAGGCCAAGAGUUCCGGGGCCUCUGAGGAGGCCCACAGUAAAGACCAAGAGUUGCUAAACACUUUCCAGCAAGUCACUCGUUGACAUUUCUGCACCAAGCACACAGCUUGUGGGUGCCUCAUAGCCUCUGGCCCACCACGACCGCAAAGUCGGCUCCAGAAGUCAUGGACUAUCUGCGGAGAACCCACUACGUGCCGCACCAACUGUUUCCAUGUGAGUCAUCUCAGACUGGGGCUAGCCGGUUGUCAGGCGGCACGGGGCUUCCGGAAACCUAUCCCUCCAGCUGCCGUUCGCUUGUGGGAGCAGUGUUGGCUGCUGACCAAAAGGUACGGCACCUGGACACCUGCCUCCAUGUCGUUAGCCCUCAGGACUAUUUUAUCCUCUCCUGACCAAGACUUUCCCCCCACUGGGCAAA